GCUGAUGCAGAGGAGGAUUUCUCAGGUGAAGAAGGCGGUGAGGACGAGGAGGAUGAUGAUGACCCUGAGGCAAAUGGUGGUGAAGGAGGUAGUGACGAUGAAGAUGGUGAAGACGAUGAUGGUGAUGAUGAAGAAGGUGAUGAUGACGAGGAUGAGGAUGAGGAUGAGGAUGAAGAGGAAGAAGAUGACGAGGACCAGCCACCAUCCAAGAAGAAGAAAUGAUCUAGCUGCCUUCAUUCUCUCCCCUGUCUUGUUUCAGUCUGUUAGUUCUGCUGUUUAGAUGAUGAUG
RNAcentral lists this long non-coding RNA (289 nucleotides) under Brachypodium distachyon (stiff brome). Its description in RNAcentral is "long non-coding RNA (BDIS_LNC005264)". Lineage: Eukaryota; Viridiplantae; Streptophyta; Magnoliopsida; Poales; Poaceae. The record is from RNAcentral.